The sequence is a non-coding RNA, 153 nucleotides long. It matches the Rfam family "Ruegeria cis2 sRNA". From Rfam's summary of the family: Cis-encoded. Targets ABC transporter. Functions in transport.
ACUGGAGUUGCGCGGCACGUAAUUGAUGAAAGCAUAGCCUCGCGCUUGGUCGAUGGUGUGGAAAAGCGGGUUCCAGUCAAACAUCGCCAGCAUGAAGCUUGGAAGAGAGUUGGCGACGAACAUCUUGCCGGAUGCAAUCAUAUUGGCGCGUGC